This 440-nucleotide ribosomal RNA is filed under the name uncultured bacterium. RNAcentral describes it as "bacterial SSU rRNA". It matches the Rfam family "Bacterial small subunit ribosomal RNA", at positions 29 to 459 of the family's 1533-position model. The record is from RNAcentral.
AACGAACGCUGGCGGUGCGCCUAAUACAUGCAAGUCGAGCGAGAAGACGUAGCAAUACGUUUGUAAAGCGGCGAACGGGUGAGGAAUACAUGGGUAACCUACCCUCGAGUGGGGAAUAACUAGCCGAAAGGUUAGCUAAUACCGCGUACGCUCCUUGGACUUCGGUUCAGGGAGGAAAGCGAUACCGUGGGUAUCGCGCUCUUGGAUGGGCUCAUGUCCUAUCAGCUUGUUGGUGAGGUAGCGGCUCACCAAGGCUUCGACGGGUAGCUGGUCUGAGAGGACGAUCAGCCACACUGGCACUGCGACACGGGCCAGACUCCUACGGGAGGCAGCAGUAAGGAAUAUUGCGCAAUGGGCGAAAGCCUGACGCAGCGACGCCGCGUGGGGGAUGAAGGUCUUCGGAUUGUAAACCACUGUUGCCCGGGACGAAGAGCGGACUU